GGAGGUGGAUGGAGGAUCGCCGGCGAACAAACACCGUUCGCGGGAGGAAAGUCCGGGCUCCAAUGGGCAGGGAGGUCGCUAACGGCGACCCGGGGUAACCCGAGGGAAAGCGCCGCAGAAACGACACCGCCGAUGGCCUGCGAUCCCCCGGCUGCGAGAGGCAGCCGGGGAGGAGGCACAGGCAAGGGUGAAAACGUGGGGUAAGAGCCCACGCGCGACAGCCGGGUGACCGGCGGCGGGGCAAGCCCCUCCCGGAGCAAGCUCGAAUAGAGGCGCUGUCGAGGGCGGUCCGCCCGAGCAGCCGCAGCCGCGGCUCCAGCACCCGGGUCAGAGCGCUCGAGCGGCCCAGCAAUGGGCCGCCUAGAUGAAUGAUCCUCGCCGGCGCGGGGGCAACCGCGCGCCGGAACAGGACCCGGCUUACAGUCCACUUCGGGAG
Molecule: RNase P RNA, 436 nt
Filed under: Myxococcales bacterium
Lineage: Bacteria; Pseudomonadati; Myxococcota; Myxococcia; Myxococcales
Description: RNase P RNA component class A
Rfam family: Bacterial RNase P class A
About the family: Ribonuclease P (RNase P) is a ubiquitous endoribonuclease, found in archaea, bacteria and eukarya as well as chloroplasts and mitochondria.
Source: RNAcentral